Molecule: unclassified non-coding RNA, 302 nt
Filed under: uncultured fungus
Lineage: Eukaryota; Fungi
Description: sequence contains ITS2
Rfam family: 5.8S ribosomal RNA (bases 1-52)
Source: RNAcentral
AACGCACCUUGCGCUCCUUGGUAUUCCGAGGAGCAUGCCUGUUUGAGUGUCAUUAAAUUCUCAACCCUAUCAGCUUUUGCUGGUAAGGCUUGGAUGUGGAGGUUUUUUGCAGGCUUCUAACGAGGUCAGCUCCUCUGAAAUGUAUUAGUAGUACCUAUGUGGAACUGUCUAUUGGUGUGAUAAUUAUCUACGCUGUGGACAUCUGCUCUAUAAAAAUGGGUUAUGCUGCUUCUAAUCGUCCGUAUGGACAACUAUAAUGACAAUUUGACCUCAAAUCAGGUAGGACUACCCGCUGAACUUAA